Molecule: ribosomal RNA, 85 nt
Filed under: Bacteroidota bacterium
Lineage: Bacteria; Pseudomonadati; Bacteroidota
Source: RNAcentral
CUUCCCAUUCCGAACAGAGAAGUUAAGCCUGCUUGCGCUGAUGGUACUGCCCUUUUGAGGGUGGGAGAGUAAGUCGAUGCCGCUU